RNAcentral lists this ribosomal RNA (497 nucleotides) under uncultured bacterium. Its description in RNAcentral is "partial 16S ribosomal RNA". It matches the Rfam family "Bacterial small subunit ribosomal RNA", at positions 28 to 507 of the family's 1533-position model. The record is from RNAcentral.
GAUGAACGCUGGCGGCGUGCCUAAUACAUGCAAGUCGAGCGAACGGACGAGAAGCUUGCUUCUCUGAUGUUAGCGGCGGACGGGUGAGUAACACGUGGAUAACCUACCUAUAAGACUGGGAUAACUUCGGGAAACCGGAGCUAAUACCGGAUAAUAUUUUGAACCGCAUGGUUCAAAAGUGAAAGACGGUCUUGCUGUCACUUAUAGAUGUAUCCGCGCUGCAUUAGCUAGUUGGUGAGGUAACGGCUUACCAAGGCAACGAUGCAUAGCCGACCUGAGAGGGUGAUCGGCCACACUGGAACUGAGACACGGUCCAGACUCCUACGGGAGGCAGCAGUAGGGAAUCUUCCGCAAUGGGCGAAAGCCUGACGGAGCAACGCCGCGUGAGUGAUGAAGGUCUUCGGAUCGUAAAACUCUGUUAUUAGGGAAGAACAUAUGUGUAAGUAACUGUGCACAUCUUGACGGUACCUAAUCAGAAAGCCACGGCUAACUACGUG